Molecule: ribosomal RNA, 164 nt
Filed under: uncultured bacterium
Lineage: Bacteria
Description: partial 16S rRNA
Rfam family: Bacterial small subunit ribosomal RNA
Source: RNAcentral
UAGGGAAUCUUCCACAAUGGGCGAAAGCCUGAUGGAGCAACGCCGCGUGUGUGAUGAAGGGUUUCGGCUCGUAAAACACUGUUGUAAGAGAAGAAUGACAUUGAGAGUAACUGUUCAAUGUGUGACGGUAUCGUUACCAGAAAGGAACGGCUAAUACGUGCCAC